AAACGACUCUCGGCAACGGAUAUCUCGGCUCUCGCAUCGAUGAAGAACGUAGCGAAAUGCGAUACUUGGUGUGAAUUGCAGAAUCCCGUGAACCAUCGAGUCUUUGAACGCAAGUUGCGCCCAAAGCCAUUUGGCCGAGGGCACGUCUGCCUGGGCGUCACGC
This 163-nucleotide ribosomal RNA is filed under the name Exostema caribaeum. RNAcentral's name for it is "5.8S ribosomal RNA". It matches the Rfam family "5.8S ribosomal RNA". From Rfam's summary of the family: 5.8S ribosomal RNA (5.8S rRNA) is a component of the large subunit of the eukaryotic ribosome. It is transcribed by RNA polymerase I as part of the 45S precursor that also contains 18S and 28S rRNA. The record is from RNAcentral. Lineage: Eukaryota; Viridiplantae; Streptophyta; Magnoliopsida; Gentianales; Rubiaceae.